RNAcentral lists this ribosomal RNA (776 nucleotides) under uncultured Neocallimastigales. RNAcentral describes it as "partial large subunit ribosomal RNA". The stretch from base 1 to 695 matches the Rfam family "Eukaryotic large subunit ribosomal RNA", at positions 26 to 664 of the family's 3401-position model. The record is from RNAcentral. Lineage: Eukaryota; Fungi; Neocallimastigomycota; Neocallimastigomycetes; Neocallimastigales.
CGUCUAUAUACGUAUAGCAUAUCAAUAAGCGGAGGAAAAGAAACUAACUAGGAUUCCCUCAGUAACGGCGAGUGAAGCGGGAAGAGCUCAAAUUUGAAAUCUUCAAGGUUCUACCUUGACGAAUUGUAGUUUAAAGAAGUGUUUUCUGUUGGAGUUUUGGUAAAAGUUCUUUGGAAUAGGACAUCAUAGAGGGUGAGAAUCCCGUAUUUGACCAUUAUUUCCAACUUUGUGAUACACUUUCAAAGAGUCGGAUUGUUUGGGAAUGCAGUCCAAAAUGGGUGGUAAAUUUCAUCUAAAGCUAAAUAUUGGCGAGAGACCGAUAGCGAACAAGUACCGUGAGGGAAAGAUGAAAAGAACUUUGAAAAGAGAGUUAAACAGUACGUGAAAUUGUCAAAAGGGAAGCGUUUGACACCAGUGUUGUUUUCUCGAAAAUCAAUUAAAAAUGGAUGGGAUGUUGUGUUGUAUUGACUUUAUCAGCUUUCUGCACUUUUUUCUUAUCUUUUUUAAUGCACUUUUCGUUUAACAAGUCAACAUCAAUUUCUUUUGUUGUAAAAGAGUCAUUGGAAGGUGGCUUUUCUUUCGGAGAAAAGUGUUUAUAGCCUUUGGCUUCUGCAAUCGGAGAGAUUGAGGUCUGCAGCGUAGAUCCUUCGGGGUUAGAUACAUUUGUGCUAAGCUAUAGUUCUUUAUAGACAACUUGUUGACUAUGAUCAGUCCUGUAGCUUACUCGCUUAUGCUAUUUUACCUACGCUUAGGAUGUUGACGAUCAGCUGAGCGCG